AUCCUUUUGUAGUUCAUACACGUGACAAAGGGGUUUCCACACACAUGUGUGAGAUGUGGCCCCUUCAAACCUCGUUACUAUGUCGGCAGAUUACUUGUCUGACA
Small nucleolar RNA from Callithrix jacchus (white-tufted-ear marmoset), 104 nucleotides. The record is from Ensembl. NCBI's taxonomy places the organism in Eukaryota, Metazoa, Chordata, Mammalia, Primates, Cebidae.